AGCGAUAUAUAACGGACUAAAGCGGAUAAUAUCUACUAACAGUAAGUUUGGGCUGUUACAAGUAGGAGGUUGUCAUAUUCUAAAAUAGGGUCCAUAAGGUGUGAGCCUAUGUUUUGCGCUUGGAUAAAAGAAACAUGCUGCUGAUACUCUCUUCCCAUUGCUCCUUGCCAACACCCUAUGCUCUACACUCUUGAUCUUGUCAUUGGUGAUUAGCUGCAUGAUAGAUAGAAGGCAUGCGCACCUGUAGAAGGUCGCCGAUGUUGGCGAGUAGUGCUCCGGGGAGAGGAGGAACAUGGAGCCAUUGGUUUUGAUGGAGGACUUGGAGGCCACCAGUGUUGUCUUGGAGGAGAAUUGUCAAAGCAGAAGGGUCUGAGUGUUUGGUGGUGCCCAAUGUGAGCUCUGGUUGAGGACAGGGUGGGUAAUAGUGACACACAAGAGUUUCAGAUUUCAUGCAUUCUAAUCCUGCAAGAUUGAGAAUUUAUUGAAAGAUGAUGGACUAGUUUGAGAAAGAAACUGCAACCGUCCAAGACCCCACUAGCAAAUAUUGUCCACUUUGGCUUGUUAUGAUCCGUGUCAGUAUCACGGUUUUAAAACGUGUUUAUUAGGGAGAGGUUUCCACACCUUUAUAAGGAAUACAAUCUACCCUCUUAGAGGCCUUGCUGGCACACUGCCUGAUGACUGACUCUGAUAACAUUUUUAACAGCUUAAGCUCACCCCUAGUAAAUAUUGA
Cucurbita pepo subsp. pepo (vegetable marrow) is the source of this 730-nucleotide non-coding RNA. The record is from RefSeq and is a predicted model, not a curated record. Lineage: Eukaryota; Viridiplantae; Streptophyta; Magnoliopsida; Cucurbitales; Cucurbitaceae.